GGGGUCCCACCUCUUCCCAUUCCGAACAGAGAAGUUAAGCCCGCCUGCGCCGAUGGUACUGCAAUGCAAUGCGGGAGAGUAGGAGGCCGCCCCCU
Molecule: ribosomal RNA, 95 nt
Filed under: Prevotella sp.
Lineage: Bacteria; Pseudomonadati; Bacteroidota; Bacteroidia; Bacteroidales; Prevotellaceae
Source: RNAcentral